GCAGAUCCAAUUUUCUGCCACCGAAUACAUUAGCAUGGGAUAAUGGAAUAGGACCCUGUCCUCCUAUUUUCAGUUGGUUUUGGCACGCGAGGACCAGGGUAAUGAUUAAUAGGGAUAGUUGGGGGCGUUAAUAUUUAAUUGUCAGAGGUGAAAUUCUUGGAUUUAUGAAAGAUUAACUUCUGCGAAAGCAUCUGCCAAGGAUGUUUUCAUUAAUCAAGAACGAAAGUUAGGGGAUCGAAGACGAUCAGAUACCGUCGUAGUCUUAACCAUAAACGAUGCCGACCAGCGAUUAGGAGACGUUGAAUACAAAACACCACCAUCGGUGCGGUCGUCCUUGGCGCGUCGCGGCUUGCCGCGGCGUGCGAGGGCGGUUUAGCCUGAUGGCAUCGGUGAAUGACUCCCCUAGCAGCUUGUGAGAA
This 419-nucleotide ribosomal RNA is filed under the name Acanthamoeba hatchetti. RNAcentral describes it as "SSU rRNA". It matches the Rfam family "Eukaryotic small subunit ribosomal RNA", at positions 780 to 1096 of the family's 1831-position model. Lineage: Eukaryota; Discosea; Longamoebia; Acanthamoebidae. The record is from RNAcentral.